AAUAGAGAGUCUGCUGCAAGGUCAAGGGCUCGCAUGCAGGAUAUUAUGUUGAUUGCAUCAACGAGACAUUGCAAAUUGUUCUGAAGAAAGGUUGCAUAUUGGUGGAACAUUUAGAAAUUACUGGACAGACAGAAAUUAGCCAACAUUUUUUUGGAAUCCUGCUUGUCAGGGAUAUGAUAUUUGUCUUCAUUUAAUUGCCACUGCUGCGUGUUUCCAACACUGUCUCUACAAGCUGCUGUUCUUGUAUCAGUUUUUCGUGGUCAGAAGGAAUAAUCUGACAUAAGAUAAUGUGAUGGUGAUCGUGCUAUUGUAAUUAUGCAAACAUUAAUGCUUAAAUUUGAACUGUGCAGUCUUAAUGCCCUUAGUGUUAAAAGGAGCUUUAGCUAGUGACUAAGAAGAUCUUUAGCACAAGAACAAUGUAACUUGCCACAUGGGGUACAUGAUAGAGAACGUAUGAAACUGGCCUAUUUUGACUUAUUUAUCCACUUUUGGUGAUUGUAUAAAUAGCCCUCCAAUUCAUGGUGUCAGAAUAAAUUCAAGGCCAUAUGAUGGGAAUGUAUUUCUGAGGUUUUACUUGACUAAUUAUCUUUCAACUUUUGAAGGAUGCUUGUUUAAAGCAUCCAUCAUUUUGAUGGAUGUAUUGUGAAUUAAUGAUGCAUAACAGGAAGCAUGGCACUGUUUCAUCUCACAGUAAUCCUGAAUAAAAGAAAGUUUAAAUGCAAAUCACAGUAUUCCUAGAGAGUUGUUGAAAUUUUUCCUGCUGUUGGGGUUUGAGAAAUUUCUACUGAGCGCAUCAGCUUGGCUACUAAUUGGAAAAACUUCAGUAUGAACUGCAAAUGUUGCUAAAUUUCUCUUUGGGGUUCCUUAUAGGCCUAUACAUUGGAGCUAGAAGCAGAGGUUGCAAAACUUAGAGAACUGAACCAAGAGUUGCAGAGAAAACAGGUAAAUUCUUUUGUUAAGUUCAAAUCUCAGAAAAUUUUAGGCUCUAUCGAACUUCCUUGACCUUGCUUUCUAUGCUGCAGGCAGAAAUUAUGGAAAUGCAGAAAAA
This 1048-nucleotide unclassified non-coding RNA is filed under the name Hevea brasiliensis (rubber tree). Lineage: Eukaryota; Viridiplantae; Streptophyta; Magnoliopsida; Malpighiales; Euphorbiaceae. The record is from RNAcentral.